UACGUAGGGUGCAAGCGUUGUCCGGAAUUAUUGGGCGUAAAGAGCUCGUAGGCGGUCCGUCACGUCGGCUGUGAAAACCUGGGGCUCAACCCCGGGCCUGCAGCCGAUACGGGCGGACUAGAAUUCGGUAGGGGAGACUGGAAUUCCUGGUGUAGCGGUGAAAUGCGCAGAUAUCAGGAGGAACACCGGUGGCGAAGGCGGGUCUCUGGGCCGACAUUGACGCUGAGGAGCGAAAGCGUGGGGAGCGAACAGG
This 253-nucleotide ribosomal RNA is filed under the name uncultured bacterium. RNAcentral's name for it is "partial 16S ribosomal RNA". It matches the Rfam family "Bacterial small subunit ribosomal RNA", at positions 524 to 776 of the family's 1533-position model. The record is from RNAcentral.